UACGGGGGGGGCAAGCGUUGUUCGGAAUUACUGGGCGUAAAGGGCUCGUAGGCGGCCAUCUAAGUCAGACGUGAAAUCCCUCGGCUUAACCGGGGAACUGCGUCUGAUACUGGAUGGCUUGAGUUUGGGAGAGGGAUGCGGAAUUCCAGGUGUAGCGGUGAAAUGCGUAGAUAUCUGGAGGAACACCGGUGGCGAAGGCGGCAUCCUGGACCAACACUGACGCUGAGGAGCGAAAGCCGGGGGAGCAAACGGG
Molecule: ribosomal RNA, 253 nt
Filed under: uncultured bacterium
Lineage: Bacteria
Description: partial 16S ribosomal RNA
Rfam family: Bacterial small subunit ribosomal RNA
Source: RNAcentral